Dipodomys ordii (Ord's kangaroo rat) is the source of this 69-nucleotide non-coding RNA. NCBI's taxonomy places the organism in Eukaryota, Metazoa, Chordata, Mammalia, Rodentia, Heteromyidae. The record is from Rfam.
GGUAGGUAGCUCAGUGGUAGAGUGCUUGCCUUGCAUGCAUGAGGCCCUGGGUUCGAUUCCUCAGCACCA